GGGGGCCCGCAAGCGGUGGAGCAUGUGGUUCAAUUCGACGCAACGCGAAGAACCUUACCUGGGCUCGAAAUGUAGUGGAAUCGGGUGGAACCAUCCGCGUCUCGCAAGAGACUGCUAUAUAGGUGCUGCAUGGCUGUCGUCAGCUCGUGUCGUGAGAUGUUGGGUUAAGUCCCGCAACGAGCGCAACCCUUAUUGCCAGUUGCCACCGGGUUAUGCCGAGCACUCUGGCGAAACCGCACAGGAUAACUGUGAGGAAGGUGGGGAUGACGUCAAGUCCUCAUGGCCUUUAUGUCCAGGGCUACACACGUGCUACAAUGGUCGGUACAAACCGUCGCAAACCCGCGAGGGGGAGCUAAUCGGAAAAAGCCGGCCUCAGUUCGGAUUGGAGUCUGCAACCCGACUCCAUGAAGCUGGAAUCGCUAGUAAUCGCGGAUCAGAACGCCGCGGUAAAUACGUUCCCGGGCCUUGUACACACC
This 476-nucleotide ribosomal RNA is filed under the name uncultured bacterium. Its description in RNAcentral is "bacterial SSU rRNA". It matches the Rfam family "Bacterial small subunit ribosomal RNA", at positions 915 to 1391 of the family's 1533-position model. The record is from RNAcentral.